Molecule: ribosomal RNA, 540 nt
Filed under: uncultured bacterium
Lineage: Bacteria
Description: bacterial SSU rRNA
Rfam family: Archaeal small subunit ribosomal RNA
Source: RNAcentral
GACGGUAAGGAACGCAGGCUAGGGUAGCAAACCGGAUUAGAUACCCGGGUUAGUCCUAGCUGUAAACAUUGCCCAUUUGAUGUUGCUUUCCCGUUGAGGGAAGGCAGUGUCGGAGCGAAGGUGUUAAAUGGGCCGCUUGGGAAGUAUGGUCGCAAGACUGAAACUUAAAGGAAGUGGCGGGGGAGCACCGCAACGGGAGGAAUGUGCGGUUUAAUUGGAUUCUACGCCGGAAAACUCACCGGGAACGACCUGUGCAUGAGAGUCAACUUGACGAGCUUACUCGAUAGCAGGAGAGGUGGUGCAUGGCCGUCGUCAGCUCGUACCGUAGGGCGUUCACUUAAGUGUGAUAACGAGCGAGACCCACAUCUUUAAUUGCAAAUGUAUAUGGGAAUAUGCAUGCACUCUAGAGAAACCGCCAGCGCUAAGCUGGAGGAAGGAGUGGUCGACGGCAGGUCAGUACGCCCCGAAUUUCCCGGGCUACACGCGCAUUACAAAGAACGGGACAAUACGUUGCAACCUCGAAAGAGGGAGCCAAUCGCG